AAAAUCCGUCGAAUUUUU
Molecule: transfer RNA, 18 nt
Filed under: Gastrochilus alatus
Lineage: Eukaryota; Viridiplantae; Streptophyta; Magnoliopsida; Asparagales; Orchidaceae
Description: partial tRNA-Leu
Source: RNAcentral